This 449-nucleotide ribosomal RNA is filed under the name uncultured bacterium. RNAcentral describes it as "partial 16S ribosomal RNA". It matches the Rfam family "Bacterial small subunit ribosomal RNA", at positions 354 to 796 of the family's 1533-position model. The record is from RNAcentral.
GUCGAGAAUCUUUCACAAUGGGGGCAACCCUGAUGGAGCGACGCCGCGUGGAGGAUAAGGUCUUCGGAUUGUAAACUCCUGUCAUGCGUGAACAAGGUUGCUUGGUUAAUACCUGGGCAAAUUGAUGGUAACGCAAGAGGAAGAGACGGCUAACUCUGUGCCAGCAGCCGCGGUAAUACAGAGGUCUCAAGCGUUGUUCGGAAUCACUGGGCGUAAAGGGUGCAUAGGUGGCGUGGUAAGUCAGAUGUGAAAGCCCGGGGCUCAACCUCGGAACUGCAUCCGAUACUGCCAUGCUAGAGUACUGGAGAGGUGACUAGAAUUCUCGGUGUAGCAGUGAAAUGCGUAGAUAUCGAGAGGAAUACCAAAGGCGUAGGCAGGUCACUGGACAGUUACUGACACUGAGGCACGAAGGCCAGGGGAGCGAACGGGAUUAGAUACCCUUGUAGUCC